UUCUCCUUUGUAGAAGGGAAAAAUUACCCAAAACCCCAAAUCUCUUGCUUUCGGAGCCCUAAGCCCCAACCCGCUCUCCUCGAAUCGCAUCUCCAAAUGGGGAAAUCUUGUCGCGAUCUCCUCCCAGAUGCUCUCUUUCCGAUCCUUUGGAUCCUCAUUGCCUUCGUUUUUCCGUCCAAAAUCUCCGGAAUCCGGAAGGACAUUGGUCUUCCAGAGAACCGUGUGUGCAGGAAUACUAUUCAAGGGCGAUACUUACUAUCAGAUGAUAAUGAGUUCAAGCUUGAAAUUAAUUUCAAAGCAAGUUUGAUCAGAUGCAAGCUCAAUGAAGCUCAGCUCAAGUACACCAGCUAUGUAUGUACUGCCCUUUCAGUUGAUUCAUUGUCUCGCUGCUGUCCUGAAAUAGGGCAGCGAUUUUCUUGUCAUGGGUGCAACCUUGUUUCACAGUGCUGCAAUUCAUAUGAGCAUUGUGUAUCGUGCUGCUUAGAUCCAUCCAGGACAAUGGAAGAUCUUGCGCUGAAAGUGAAGAUAGCCAAACCAAUUACUGCAGGCACUUAUGCUAGUGUUUUUGAUUUCUGUGCUGGAAGGUGCCGUCAUAAUUCUGCAAGUGUGGUUCAUGAGAAUGCAUAUGCAAGUGACUUUCAUCACUGCUUUUCUUUGCAGUCAAAUUUUUCAGGGAUAAUGGAACUAAGUUCUGAAGCAAGGCUGACAGGCAUUGAUAUUGUCAUUGGAAAGCAGGGGGAAUCCUGUAAUUCAGCAUGCAGGUCGAAGAAGCAAUCAUGUGUUCCAAACAGGCUUCUUGUGCUUAAUAAAUGUGAAUUUCUGCAGAGAUAUAUGAGCUGCAAGGGUGGAUGUUUUUCUAGCAUUGGAGCAGAUCAACCUGCUGAAGUUGUUGAUGAUGCACCGAAGGAUGUGAAUCCAGGGGCAUGCUUGUUUACACAAAGGGAGGCCAUGCUUACAUGCGAUGGUUCACAUCAACAUACAAGGAGACUUUGCCCGUGUGCAUGACAUGCGAUGCACUGUGACAAGGUUGAGCAUGUGAGUUUACAUGCUUGUGCAUACCAGCAAAAAAAUUUAGGAGAUAUUUUGACAACAAUUGGUCAAGCCUCGAGGUGAACAUGCUCCACGCAACGUUACUGGUGUAAAUGCCAAUCCACAUGUUUAAAUCUCUUGCAGAAAACACAGUGCUUCUUCGUUGCAUGUAACAAAAUCAUCAAGGCAAACCUCUAUUCCCACCAUGCAAUUGCCAACAUGGGAUUAAGAAGGAAGGCAGAAUUGUUUUUUUGUAUCAUAUCAUACUCACUGUAUGGAAAAUGUUGAAUGGGCACCAAUCUUAAAUACCAGUUACGUGAACAGUGUCUGGAGUGCUA
Non-coding RNA from Phoenix dactylifera (date palm), 1367 nucleotides. The record is from RefSeq and is a predicted model, not a curated record. NCBI's taxonomy places the organism in Eukaryota, Viridiplantae, Streptophyta, Magnoliopsida, Arecales, Arecaceae.